CAAAAAAGAACAAUAGCGCCGCCGCCUCGCCCACCCCCGCCGCCGGCCUCCAACUCCAAGCAUCCCCUAAUCCCGCCGCCGAUGGCGACUGCGACGGGGACGCCCCGGCUCCUACCGAAUACUUGUACUGGACUCGAGUGUACAACACCACCUCCUCCUCGUAAAUACCUUCUACUGUUCUGGGAAUCUGGGCCAACUAGGCGGAGUGGAGAGGGCAAGGACGCCGCAUUGGAAAAGGAACAGGGCAAUAUGUAUUUUCAAACUGAAGAAGUUUGCUGAAGCGGUUGAGUGCUACUCGACAAUCCAGUGUAACUCAUGGAGGAAUGCCCAAGAGAAGUUCAGUUGGAGGUAAACAUAUGAUUUCUGAAUCAGGUAAAGCUGGAUAUAAAAAAUAUAUCACCUGUCAUCCACCAAGCAGUUUCCUGAUUCCUGAAGACGCACAUGAUGAUGAAACUGUGGGGGACCCGAGGCGUCAUCCCUGUUCGAGGAUCCAUCGGAAAGACCGAGGAGUGCAACUAGCAAUGCCACAACUUGGUGGGCCAAGCAAAAGCCAGAAAUAUAUGUACAUAAUCUUGCAUCAUGUGCUACUUCACAGUAUAUCACCACUGUAAAGAGUGUGAAGACACCAAGGACAGCUUACGAUUUUGAGGUUUCUUGGGGAGCAUGACCUUGCACAGAAAAUACAGUUGUUAAAGAGAUUGGCAAAUCCGAGGAGGUGGAACGCAUGUCUCCAAGACCGUGUCGCGCUGACCUCUGUAGAACAACCCCACCUUGAUAUGGCAUGAAUCAACGCAAAACAUAGCCAUAAGCGCCUAGAAGAGUCGGCGAGUGAAUGACAAGAGUCGACCAAACCGGACAAAGACACCGCCAAAGAAAAUUUGAUCAUGGUGUACAUUGUGCCUCAGAGGCCCAUGUUUUUUGGCAGCAGCAGACUCCGGCUCGAUCCGCCUUUUCCAGGUACUUCACGACCAACCCAAGCAAACACAUUCAAGAAGGUAGCGACACCGGGGUGCGUCAUCGCCGGAUAUAGACUUUCCCUUGGUGCUCGUGGUUGGGAAGCACAAGGCCACGAUGAUGCUUAAGGAGGGAGACGACGCCCUCAAGCGUUUCCAUCGCCAAUAAAAGCUAAUAGACCACCAUCGAAUGGGGUUGGAUGGUGAGAGACACCGAGGUCCAUCAACAGCUCGCCUCACAACCGCUCAGAGACGAGCCGCAACGUCACCGGAGUAAUGAAAACAUGUUCUCCCACCGAUACCACCAUCAAAUGUUGUUGGAUGGUGGGGAUCUAGCCCGUUGCCACCUGGCCAACUGUCGGCACCACCACGGUGCCUAGCAACCAGUGGUGUAGGCGCCACCGCGUUUGCCUGCCACCACAACCUUGAUCUGCAGGCCUGCACAUGCUCAAAUGCGCCAAGUGGGCUCGCAAGCCGCGUACAUGGCAGAAGGGGCAGCUCCACCACGGGUAGGUUGCGCCUCUCCUCAGUCGAUGUCAUGGCACGCUUUGCAUGUGGGUCCUUGCAGUAUCUUGCCACUGAAACUCUAUCGAAAACCGUGCUGCCGCGUGAGAGAGAAGGCAUUGCCGCGUCGUUACUGCAUGGGCUUCGUUCAAUGGUUGCACCACGACCUCCUCCGAGGCGAAUAGGUAGGGAGGCUGGGGAGUGGUUUUAUGUGUGGGCGUUGGUGGCUACUCCGCAGUCGCCCCAGAGCCAGUGGCGGGUACCAGGUAAACAAUAAAAUCUUUGUAAACUAGCUAUUUUUCACCAUGUGUGACACCCCUAAAACAGUUGUUUUGGCAGCUGGGGCCUGAUCGUCAUUGCUCUAGCUCCGCCACUGUCCAGAGCGAUCAAGAGGCUAGGGUUUCCAACUACUUUGCUGUGUGAAUAUUCGUUUUUAUGUGUGUGAACAUUUCAUGGAUAUUGGCUCGUUUUUGCAACCGAAGUGGAUUCAUUGUUGGGCUACAGAUUCGCAAAAGAAAGGAAAAGGAAAUCUCUCGGGACAGACCUCUAAAUGGGCCAGGCCCGCUGGAUGCUCGAUACCUGAAGUACUUCAUUUUUGCGACCUGGGCUGACUUGACCGAAGCGUGCCUUCCGGCCCAGGACUAUCGUGCGAACCGAUGGUGGAACUGAACGCACGCGGGCGGACGCGCCUUGUUUCGUGUUUAGUCCCACAUCGGACAACUAUGUCGCCAACAGGCUACAUAAAAGGCUUUCUCUAUCGGUACGAGCAACAAGCCGAGCCCGGUAGCGUGGGCUCUUAACCCAGAUGGAAGGGGGCAGCAGUUCGGGAUGACGAGAAAGGAGUUGAGUAUGAGGGUGACCAGCUUGCCGGGCCCGCCCCCGGGGGCCCGUAACCGUAGGUCAUUUGUGAUCGGGGCAGGCCCACCACUACUCCCUCAACGUGACUUGCUAGGCCCGCCCCCGGGGGUCUGUUACCGUAGGUCAUUUGUGUUCGGAGUAAGGCCCAUCUCUACCGACUGCUAACAACUUUUUUGCUAUGUUUUUUUUUUCAUCCGC
Long non-coding RNA from Lolium perenne, 2513 nucleotides. RefSeq lists it as uncharacterized. NCBI's taxonomy places the organism in Eukaryota, Viridiplantae, Streptophyta, Magnoliopsida, Poales, Poaceae. The record is from RefSeq and is a predicted model, not a curated record.